CCCUUAGAUGUUCUGGGCCGCACGCGCGCUACACUGAUGCAUUCAACGAGUCUAAAACCUGGUCUGAUAGGGCUGGGUAAUCUUUUGAAAGUGCAUCGUGAUUGGGAUAGAUGAUUGCAAUUCUUCAUCUUCAACGAGGAAUGCCUAGUAAACGCAAGUCAUCAGCUUGCAUUGAUUACGUCCCUGCCCUUUGUACACACCGCCCGUCGCUCCUACCGAUUGAGUGCUCAGGUGAAUAAUUCGGACUGCAGCAAUGUUUGGAUCCCGAACGUUGCAGCGGAAAGUUUAGUGAACCUUAUCACUUAGAGGAAGGAGAAGUCGUAACA
Molecule: ribosomal RNA, 326 nt
Filed under: uncultured eukaryote
Lineage: Eukaryota
Description: partial 18S ribosomal RNA
Rfam family: Eukaryotic small subunit ribosomal RNA
Source: RNAcentral